Molecule: ribosomal RNA, 505 nt
Filed under: uncultured bacterium
Lineage: Bacteria
Description: partial 16S ribosomal RNA
Rfam family: Bacterial small subunit ribosomal RNA
Source: RNAcentral
GACGAACGCUGGCGGCGUGCCUAAUACAUGCAAGUAGAACGCACAGUUUAUACCGUAGCUUGCUACACCAUAGACUGUGAGUUGCGAACGGGUGAGUAACGCGUAGGUAACCUGCCUGGUAGCGGGGGAUAACUAUGGGAAACGAUAGCUAAUACCGCAUAAUAUUAAUUAUUGCAUGAUAAUUAAUUGAAAGGUGCAAUUGCACCACUACCAGAGGGACCUGCGUUGUAUUAGCUAGUAGGUGAGGUAACGGCUCACCUAGGCGACGAUACAUAGCCGACCUGAGAGGGUGAUCGGCCACACUGGGACUGAGACACGGCCCAGACUCCUACGGGAGGCAGCAGUAGGGAAUCUUCGGCAAUGGACGAAAGUCUGACCGAGCAACGCCGCGUGAGUGAAGAAGGUUUUCGGAUCGUAAAGCUCUGUUGUAAGAGAAGAACGGGUGUGAGAGUGGAAAGUUCACACUGUGACGGUAUCUUACCAGAAAGGGACGGCUAACUACGUG